Long non-coding RNA from Perca flavescens (yellow perch), 570 nucleotides. RefSeq lists it as uncharacterized. The transcript has 3 exons. The record is from RefSeq and is a predicted model, not a curated record. NCBI's taxonomy places the organism in Eukaryota, Metazoa, Chordata, Actinopteri, Perciformes, Percidae.
GUGGUGUUGAUACUACAGUUGAGAGAACAGUAUGGUUUACUAAAAAGAAUAAUGCUGAACCUGUAGAUCUGACAACAGACUCAGAGUAUUCAGGUCGUGUGCAGUAUCACUCUGAAAACAAGGUCUGUACUCUGAGAAUCUCAGACCUGAGAGAGAGAGACUCAGCUGAGUACUAUUUCUGGUUCAUAACAAACCAAGGUGGGAACUAUGUUGGUUAUCCUGGAAUCACUUUGUCUGUCACAGUCACAUAUUCAGGUCUCCAGGUGCAGGUGAGCAGAUUACACCAGUCCUCUAACCAGGCAGAGCUGAAGUGUCAGAGCAGUUGUCCUCUACCUGGUCAUCCUUCCUACAUCUGGUACAAGAAUGGACAGAACAUUCAGGGACAAACAUCUAAUUCUUAUUCAGCCUCCUUGGAUCCUGCAGACAGAUUUUCCUGUGCUGUAAGAGGACAUGAGGACUCCCCCUCUCCUUCAGUGUUGAUACAGGGUCAGUAUGGCUUGGGAGUGACUUACACCUCUGCUCAGAUCUGUGCUGUUAAAGGAUCAACAGUGGACAUACCCUGCAGCUACA